Long non-coding RNA from Folsomia candida, 1069 nucleotides. RefSeq lists it as uncharacterized. The transcript is spliced from 2 exons. The record is from RefSeq and is a predicted model, not a curated record. NCBI's taxonomy places the organism in Eukaryota, Metazoa, Arthropoda, Collembola, Entomobryomorpha, Isotomidae.
AAAAAGUUUAAACUUUUUCCAUUGUUAAAAUCCGCUUAAAAUCUAAUCAGAUCCGAAAUUGAGCCGGGGCACUGGACACGGAUUGAAAUGGUGUCGAGAGAAAAACUUACGACCAAAACUAAGCCAAAAAUGCUGCGACUGCUAUUUACUAGUCGUAAGUCCAAAUCUCUCUCUUUCUCUCACCUGUUAGCUCACAAGUAAAUACUUCAAUUUUACUUGGAACUAUUUUUUAACAUUUUAUUUGAGUAUGCUAUAGCAUACUCAACUAAAAUUACAAGUUAAUUCCUCCGAGUGACGAACAAGUGAUUCGCCCUUGAGUCUCCACCGGGCCUUGACUUGCAAAUUAUUGCAGUCGUGACUCCUUUAUAUGGGAGUGCCUUUAUUCCUACCGAAUGCAAUUAGAAGACAAAUAUAUAAAAGAAGGCAAACAUUUGAGAGACUAAGUGAACGUGAUAUAAGGGAACAUUAUAGUGUGCUAGGGUGGUGCGCCAGCUUGGAGCGCAAGAGAGCUUAUCAAACUUUAUCAUCAUCUUGAAGGGAAAAUAAUUACCACGGUCCCUUGUUUCUACAGUCCUACGUUUCUUACUGGUGCAUUUUGGAAACACCACAACUAUACGCUGCAAGGGCAAUUUAAUAAGCAGUGAAAAAAUGAGGCACGUUUGUAAGAAAAAUUAGUAAUUGGAAGUAUCGAUUUUAUCAUUUUAUUUAAGAUGUUAUCAGUUUUCGAAUUCUCAUUAUUAUAACUUGUUUACUAGGACUGAUCGCUACAGCUGUUAUCGCCACUUCAUAAGCACGUGAAUCAAUUUUAGCUCCUAAAUAGCAUUCCCGGUGGUAUUGAUCUACGUGAUCCUUCUUUCAAAUUUCCGACAGAUAGACCUCUAUUGACCUAUCGAGGUGACGAAAGUGUUGAUUUAUGUUUUCAAGUAUGGGCUCUACAUACAUCAAUCAUUGGUCACAGGUCACGAACGGGCCACUUCCUAUCUAUGAGUGACGACUAGAUUUAUCUAAGUCAGUCCCAUGUUUGAGUACAUGUUGUUCUGAAUGCAAAUAAAGAAAGCUUGAGAACUCA